Molecule: long non-coding RNA, 762 nt
Organism: Myotis myotis
Lineage: Eukaryota; Metazoa; Chordata; Mammalia; Chiroptera; Vespertilionidae
Exons: 3
Source: RefSeq, a predicted model, not a curated record
GGUGGGGGCAGCCCAGGGGACAGGGUCCCUCGGCCGGCUGCUGGCCUGGCGGACCCCUCCCUGCCACCACCCCCCCUCCCACCAGUGAGGCUGCCAGGAGGCCAGGGCUGAGCAGCCAGCCGGAGCGGAGGCUGAUCCUCGGUAAUUGCCGAGGGAGGCGUGGGCCUUCUCCCCUUUCCUGGCACUUAGCUGCAGGUCGGCCCUGAGAGCCUCGGUGAGGCCCCCUGGGCCUGGGAUGAAACCCGACCGGCCCUAAUCGCCGGGGGAGCUGUGGUCCUGCCCGCCUGCAGCCCAGCACAGAGCGAGCCUCACAGCGGCGCUGACCACACGCACAUGGCUGUGCAGCAGACGUCGGGAGCCUUCUCGUCUCCCCACGGAGGCCCUGCCCACUGCGCCCGACUCGCCCUCACUUCCUGCCUGAGCCUGGCUCCUGCAGGUCCUCACACAGGGAGUCGGACGCGGUGUGUCCUGCGUGGGGCCUCCUCGGGGAGCACGGGGCCCUCGGGGCCCUCGCAGUGGCUCCGCUUGCCUUCUUUCUGAGCUGGGGCUCCGGGUGUGGCUGUGGUGUCCACGCCUCUGCGGGCAACACCGGGUGCUUCCCCUUCGGGGUCAUCGGGAGUGAGCUGUGGACACAGUGUGCACCUGACCUUUAAGGUCCCGCUUGCGGCCGGGCCGGCGGGCUCAAGGCUGAGCGUCGACCUAGGAACCAGGAGGUCACGGUUCGAUUCCCGGUCAGGGCACCUGCCCGGGUUGUGGGCUUGA